GAUUCAUUUUACUUUCGGGUCUCUUUCUUUUUCUGGGAUUCGUGGACGUAAUAUCAAAAACUUUUGCAAAUGAGGACGACUUUUGGAACUGCGGAAUUUCAAGUGCACAAGGAGAUAUCUGCGGGUCAUGUUGUUACAAGUCUGUGAAGGUUCUAUUAGCCUAUGCAACAGAAUUAAAAGAGCAGGUUAAAUCGAACGACUCAAAAAAUGCAGAAAGAGAUGACGAAAUAGCUAAGCUAAGAAAGAAAUUGCUUGAAAUAGAUUAUUAUAGAGGUGAAAACGCGGAGAUUGAUGAGCUACAGAAAGCGAAUGAUGCGUUAAGAAAAACAAAUGACGAUUUACUCAAACUUCUCAGUCAAUCGAUUCAGCAUCAAAAUAAUGUGGCUAAAAAUGAAGAGUUAAAGGCGGAAAUAGCAGAAGUGAAAUUGAGAACAAGAAAUCAAGCGAUCGAUUGCAUCGCUCGCCAGGACAAUUUAAAACAAGAAAUUGAACUCUUAAGGAAAAAGUCUUAUGACUCGGAAGAAACUCAUAAAAUUGUAUUGGAAAGCUCCAAAAGUGAUUUAGCAAACUUAAGAUUAAGCUUUGAAAAAGAACUAAAGUCGAAAGAAAAGUUGGCAAAUGAAAUAAGCGACUUGAAAUCUCAACUAGCAUCCUAUCAGGAGUUAAAGGCGGAAAUAGCAGAAGUGAAAUUGAGAACAAGAAAUCAGUCGAUCGAAUGCAUCGCUCGCCAGGACAAUUUAAAACAAGAAAUUGAACUCUUAAGGAAAAAGUCAAAUGACUCGGAAGAAACUUAUAAAAUUGUAUUGGAAAACUCCAAAAGUGAUUUAGCAAACUUAAGAUUAAGCUUUGAAAAAGAACUAAAGUCGAAAGAAAAGUUGGCCAAUGAAAUAAACGACUUGAAAUCUCAGCUAGCAUCCUAUCAGAAAAACUUGGAAGAUGCGCAAAAUCAGAUAGUAGCUAAAAAUAGUUUGAUCGAUAGUCAUUCUCUAAAACUAAACCAAACUGAGAUAAGUCUAAGUGAUUGUAAGCGAAAUUUACCGAAAAUAGGUUGCAAAGAUCUCCCAUCGGGAAUUCAUUUAAUUAAAAUUCCCGGACUGGAUCCGUUUCGAUCUUUCUGCAAAGGCGAGAUAGAUGGAAAUGGAUGGAUAGUUGUGCAUAGGCGACUUAAUGGUAGCGAAAACUUUUAUAGAAAUUGGAUAGACUUUCGAAACGGUUUUGGUGAUUUAAAUGGAAAUUUUUUUAUUGGUCUUGAAAAAUUGCAUCGCAUCACCCAAACGGAUAUUUAUGAACUUUCCAUAGAAAUUGUGUUCUAUUAUGAUACUUUUACAAAUGUUAGAUAUAAUCAUUUCAAAAUUGGUGAUGAAACUAAGCAAUAUAAGUUGGAAUCAUUGGGAGAAUUUCGAGGCACGAUCGACAAUCAAAUGGAGAGAGGCAUAGGACAAAAAUUCACGACUUACGAUCGUGAUAAUGAUUUGCGCAGUGAUGUGAAUUGUGCGGCAGAAUUUUAUGGAGCCUGGUGGUACGACAGAUGUUGGGGCCCAAAUCUAAACGGACGAUAUUAUACAAGUGAAAUCGAAAAAAGGGAUAGUAUGAGCUGGAAUGGCUGGUUUUCUCUGAAAUCAGUACAAAUGCUCAUUCGACCAAAAAACUCUUCAAAUCAAUGAUAAAUCACUAAAAAUAUAUUUU
Molecule: long non-coding RNA, 1686 nt
Organism: Drosophila willistoni
Lineage: Eukaryota; Metazoa; Arthropoda; Insecta; Diptera; Drosophilidae
Exons: 3
Source: RefSeq, a predicted model, not a curated record